This 411-nucleotide ribosomal RNA is filed under the name uncultured Gammaproteobacteria bacterium. RNAcentral's name for it is "bacterial SSU rRNA". It matches the Rfam family "Bacterial small subunit ribosomal RNA", at positions 57 to 465 of the family's 1533-position model. The record is from RNAcentral. Lineage: Bacteria; Pseudomonadati; Pseudomonadota; Gammaproteobacteria.
GCAAGUCGAACGGAAACGAUGGGAGCUUUGCUCCCAGGCGUCGAGUGGCGGACGGGUGAGUAAUGCAUAGGAAUCUGCCCAGUAGCGGGGGACAACUCGAGGAAACUCGAGCUAAUACCGCAUACGCCCUACGGGGGAAAGUGGAGGAUCUUCGGACUUCACACUAUUGGAUGAGCCUAUGCCUGAUUAGCUUGUUGGUGGGGUAACGGCCCACCAAGGCGACGAUCAGUAGCUGGUCUGAGAGGACGAUCAGCCACACUGGGACUGAGACACGGCCCAGACUCCUACGGGAGGCAGCAGUGGGGAAUAUUGCACAAUGGGCGCAAGCCUGAUGCAGCAAUGCCGCGUGUGUGAAGAAGGCCUGCGGGUUGUAAAGCACUUUCAGUAGGGAGGAAACUGUAACGGAAUAAU